RNAcentral lists this ribosomal RNA (111 nucleotides) under uncultured eukaryote. RNAcentral's name for it is "partial small subunit ribosomal RNA". The record is from RNAcentral.
ACCCAAAGACGUUUUAGCUAACCUGUUAAAGGAGGCGAGCGUUCAAGAUAUGGGGAGUGAUUGGGGUGAAGUCGUAACAAGGUAGCCGUAGGUGAACCUGCAGAAGGAUCA